Molecule: ribosomal RNA, 605 nt
Filed under: Salmonella enterica subsp. enterica serovar Typhimurium
Lineage: Bacteria; Pseudomonadati; Pseudomonadota; Gammaproteobacteria; Enterobacterales; Enterobacteriaceae
Description: partial 23S ribosomal RNA
Rfam family: Bacterial large subunit ribosomal RNA
Source: RNAcentral
GUGACUGCGUACCUUUUGUAUAAUGGGUCAGCGACUUAUAUUCUGUAGCAAGGUUAACCGUAUAGGGGAGCCGGAGGGAAACCGAGUCUUAAUUGGGCGUUAAGUUGCAGGGUAUAGACCCGAAACCCGGUGAUCUAGCCAUGGGCAGGUUGAAGGUUGGGUAACACUAACUGGAGGACCGAACCGACUAAUGUUGAAAAAUUAGCGGAUGACCUGUGGCUGGGGGUGAAAGGCCAAUCAAACCGGGAGAUAGCUGGUUCUCCCCGAAAGCUAUUUAGGUAGCGCCUCGUGAAUUCAUCUCCGGGGGUAGAGCACUGUUUCGGCUAGGGGGCCAUCCCGGCUUACCAACCCGAUGCAAACUGCGAAUACCGGAGAAUGUUAUCACGGGAGACACACGGCGGGUGCUAACGUCCGUCGUGAAGAGGGAAACAACCCAGACCGCCAGCUAAGGUCCCAAAGUCAUGGUUAAGUGGGAAACGAUGUGGGAAGGCCCAGACAGCCAGGAUGUUGGCUUAGAAGCAGCCAUCAUUUAAAGAAAGCGUAAUAGCUCACUGGUCGAGUCGGCCUGCGCGGAAGAUGUAACGGGGCUAAACCAUGCACCGAAG